Molecule: unclassified non-coding RNA, 285 nt
Filed under: uncultured Subulicystidium
Lineage: Eukaryota; Fungi; Basidiomycota; Agaricomycetes; Corticiales; Corticiaceae
Description: sequence contains ITS2
Source: RNAcentral
AACGCACCUUGCGCCCUUUGGUAUUCCGAUGGGCAUGCCUGUUCGAGUGUCUUGAAUUCAUCGCCGCCUCCGGUUUUGCGACCGGCUGGCGGCGGACUUGGGGGUCUGCCGCGGCGACGCGGCUCCCCUCGAAUGCAUCGGUGGGGUCUCCGAGCACCCACGGGCGUUGUAUUGUCCUCGUCCGACCGGGCCUCGCGUCCCCCCGCCUCGACUGCCGUCCGAGCGGCGGUCAAGCACACUUUGAAAUCUGACCUCGAAUCAGGUAGGACUACCCGCUGAACUUAA